UACGUAGGGUGCGAGCGUUGCCCGGAUUUAUUGGGUUUAAAGGGUGCGUAGGCGGCCUUAUAAGUCAGUGGUGAAAUCCUAUCGCUUAACGAUAGACGUGCCAUUGAUACUGUAGGGCUUGAGUACAGAUGCCGUUGGCGGAAUGUGUCAUGUAGCGGUGAAAUGCAUAGAUAUGACACAGAACACCGAUUGCGAAGGCAGCUGACGAAACUGUAACUGACGCUGAUGCACGAAAGCGUGGGGAUCAAACAGG
This 253-nucleotide ribosomal RNA is filed under the name uncultured bacterium. RNAcentral's name for it is "partial 16S ribosomal RNA". It matches the Rfam family "Bacterial small subunit ribosomal RNA", at positions 524 to 776 of the family's 1533-position model. The record is from RNAcentral.